AUUGAACGCUGGCGGCAGGCCUAACACAUGCAAGUCGAGCGAGUGGCGGACGGGUGAGUAAUGUCUGGGAAACUGCCUGAGGGAGGGGGAUAACUACUGGAAACGGUAGCUAAUACCGCAUACCAUCGGAUGUGCCCAGAUGGGAUUAGCUAGGAGGUGGGGUAAGGGCUCACCUAGGCGGCGAUCCCUAGCUGGUCUGAGAGGAUGACCAGCCACACUGGAACUGAGACACGGUCCAGACUCCUACGGGAGGCAGCAGUGGGGAAUAUUGCACAAUGGGCGCAAGCCUGAUGCAGCCAUGCCGCGUGUAUGAAGAAGGCCUUCGGGUUGUAAAGUACUUUCAGCCGGGAGGCGUUACCCGCAGAAGAAGCACCGGCUAACUCCGUGCCAGCAGCCGCGGUAAUAC
This 406-nucleotide ribosomal RNA is filed under the name uncultured bacterium. Its description in RNAcentral is "partial 16S ribosomal RNA". It matches the Rfam family "Bacterial small subunit ribosomal RNA", at positions 30 to 526 of the family's 1533-position model. The record is from RNAcentral.